RNAcentral lists this ribosomal RNA (465 nucleotides) under uncultured bacterium. RNAcentral's name for it is "partial 16S ribosomal RNA". It matches the Rfam family "Bacterial small subunit ribosomal RNA", at positions 338 to 795 of the family's 1533-position model. The record is from RNAcentral.
CCUACGGGGGGCAGCAGUAGGGAAUCUUCCACAAUGGGCGAAAGCCUGAUGGAGCAACGCCGCGUGGGUGAAGAAGGUCUUCGGAUCGUAAAACCCUGUUGUUAGAGAAGAAAGUGCGUGAGAGUAACUGUUCACGUUUCGACGGUAUCUAACCAGAAAGCCAUGGCUAACUACGUGCCAGCAGCCGCGGUAAUACGUAGGUGGCAAGCGUUAUCCGGAUUUAUUGGGCGUAAAGGGAACGCAGGCGGUCUUUUAAGUCUGAUGUGAAAGCCUUCGGCUUAACCGGAGUAGUGCAUUGGAAACUGGGAGACUGGAGUGCAGAAGAGGAGAGUGGAACUCCAUGUGUAGCGGUGAAAUGCGUAGAUAUAUGGAAGAACACCAGUGGCGAAAGCGGCUCUCUGGUCUGUAACUGACGCUGAGGUUCGAAAGCGUGGGUAGCAAACAGGAUUAGAUACCCGAGUAGUC